AAGCAACCCAUUGCCACCAGCCGCAAAGGAUGGUGUAAUGGACCUGUGUCUCUGAAGGAAACAAAGGGAAUAGACUGCAGCUUUCAAGCAGAACUAAAAGGAGAGGGUGCUGAAUUUGGGGUGCUGUAGGUCAUGGAUGUAGGUAAGGGACGCGCGUGGCGCUGUGGGUUAAACCACAGAGCCUAGGACUUGACGAUCAGAAGGUUGGCGGUUUGAAUCCCCGCGACAGGGUGAGCUCCCGUUGCUCGGUCCCUGCUCCUGCCAACCUAGCAGUUCAAAAGCACAUCAAAGUGCAAGUAGAUAAAUAGGUACCGCUCCGGUGGGAAGGUAAACGGCGUUUCCGUGUGCUGCUCUGGUUCGCCAGAAGCGGCUUAGUCAUGCUGGCCACAUGACCAGGAAGCUGUACGCUGGCUCCCUCGGCCAAUAAAGCGAGAUGAGCGCCGCAACCCCAGAGUCAGUCACGACUGGACCUAAUGGUCAGGGGUCCCUUUACCUAGGUCAUGGAUUGCCAACAUGCUUUUCCCAGGUACACAUGUGCUCAGCAAAGGCAUACCUAGGGGUCAGUGAAACCAGCCCAGAAAUCUCUCCAUGAAGGUCACAAGUUUAGACAAAAACUCGGAGCUGAAUAGUAGGAGAAAUGACAAGGAAGCAUGAAGGUAAACCGCUGGAGAUUAUGGAGCUCAUGACGUAAAUGUGUGUGGCAACACUUCGCCACUGUCACAGCUGGAUCAAAUGCUAGAGAACUGGGGGGGUUUUCUGGGGAGGUGGCACUGAUACAGUUCCUUGCCAAGAGCAGAAGGGACUCUAGGCAUACCUAUGGUGCUGAAAGAGGCCUUCCUCUCCCAAUUUCCAUUGAAAUUAGGCUUGGUUUGAAAGACGUCUUCUAUUGCAGCCAAUAGAAGGCUUUCCCCAAGCCUAAUUGAGAGGGUGGGCGUGGUUGAGGUGUACACACUGUUGCAGUGUAGGCACUUUGCAUGCACCUCCCCAUGGUCUCUCUGGUUUGCAGAUGAGGUCCAAAGGGUUGGUGAUCCCCCGCUGUGGCAUAGAGUGGGUUGCCAGUGUCUGGGGCAAGGCAAGUAUCCUCUGCAACACCCGAUAGGCUGGAAUGAAGAGGCAAUAGCUCAGCAACCUACCUGAGUGGCAGCUGUGGUGCCCUGUGAGGGUCGAGCACAGCGGAGAGAGGGUUGGGGGAUUGGUUGGGAGCAGAUAUCUUUCUAAAACCCGUGCAGAGGGCACCAAAGCAACUGGCCAUCAUCCAAAUUCACUCCUUAGUCCUCCCACAGAACAUUAGGAGAUUCUCUAUAUGAGGGGGAGGCCAUACUAUCUAUCAUCUAUCUAGCUAUCUAUAGUCUAACAGUAUUGCAAGGGGGCUGGCUGUGUCUUUCUGGAGAUCUGAUGUGAGAGCAGAGGACUUUGGCUACCUCUUGGGAGCCUCUUAUGCUUUUCCUCCAUCUAUGCUCACCUUGUACCAUCUAUGAACAUGCACUAAUGUUGAAAAAUGCCAAUGAACCUGAAAUAUACUCAGAGUCCUGUAGUGAUUUCAUGCUCUUUAAUGCAGCUUGUAAAACAGUGAUUGAAUUGCCCCCCAAACCUCAGGCUUUUAUAUACAUUAUUUAUACAAUGAAUCCUGUCUGAUUGGCUGAGUCUGCUUCCCUUCUGGAGCCUGAUUGGUCUUUUCCUGCAAGCCAAUCAGUUGUUGCAUUCUAGGAUCCUACUUGCCUAUUGUUCUAGGAUCCAAGCUUAGUACAUAACAGAACCUCUAGUUACCUUCUUCAAAAGAAGCCAGCUUAAACAAGGUGCUGUGCCCCAGAACCUCUUGCUGUACAGAGAAGAAGAGAAGGCCUAACAAUAUGAUCUUCUGCCUGAAUGAAAGCGGUAUCACUUUUUCCUUUGAACGAAAUACCACCAUCUCUACCCAAAAAAAAAAAAAAGCCCUGUUAAGAAUGAAAUGUGCUGAUGGUUCUCUCCACCCACCCAUUUUCUGGGUCUCCCUCUCCCCGCCCCCCAGGGGAACUAGGAUGCAAAAAUAGAGAAGCAAAAAAGACAGCUAAACAACACAAUUACAGAAACGUCAACUGAAAAGUAUGUUGUUGUUGUUGUUUUUCCCUGUGGUGCUUACUACCAGAUAAGUAUGCAUAGAAUUUUAGUUCCAUGCUGAUUUUUGCUUCCAUGUGAAAACAGGCUGAUGUGGGUAAUUUCAAAGAAAAUCACUUAUUUAGUGUGGUACAAGGCAAGAUAAAAAGAUUACAGUUAAUGAGGGUACCAGGUUCAUUUCAGCUGUCACUUUCUGAAUCUGACAAGAUUAGUCAUUUCAUUAAUUUUUUCCUUACAACAAAAGCAUGCCAUAAUUACGUGUAUACCUGCUUGCUUACAAAAAAAAUCCCCCCUCUCUCCUGGAAGAGUAACAAUUAACGUCAUUAGCCUCCCAGUUUGUCAGUUGAUUAGACUGACAGUAGUUUGUCUGUUUUUUCAUCCACAGAUACAGAUUUUUAAAAAUUGGUUUGACACAUGGUAUUUCUUAAUUAGACAUCAGUGUAAUUUGGGGGGAGGAGAGAAAAAGUGUCAAUCUUCCCCUAGUUCAGGAUUCUAAUGAAAGCCAUUUGCUACGAAUAAAAUGGCUUCCACAUGAUGGCGGCAGAAGGCAGGCCACUAUCUUUUUAUUUGCAAAAAUAUUUAUCUACCGCUAUGUCAUAGAAAAUAUAUAUCACAGCAGUUUACAACAAUAUAAAGACUUAAAACCAGACACUAGAAUCAUAAAAAGUUAAAAGCAUUAAUAAUAAUAAAGUAAAAACAAGCAUUCAAAGUCUGAGAGAGGAGGCCAUCUAUGUCCCUCCCCAUUUCUCAGCUAGCAAGCUAGAUUUCCUUUCAGACUUGGUGGGAGGUUCGAGCUCUCUCCACCUAUGUGUCAGAGACUGUGCUGAGGAGGGCUGCACUGAGGAAGAAUGGUGGGCGCCACCCCCUCCCCCUGAUUCUGAUCCUGCAUCUUCCCAGGAGCAGGAGAACAGCAUAGAUUUGGAAGAGUGGUUUGCAGAGGGGCAUAGUUCAGAAGGCAGAAGCUGGGAUAUACUGGAUGGGGAACAGCUAGGAGAAGAAACACUGGAAAAGAGAGGGUUAACAGAUUCACAGUCUCUGGACAGCGUUCAAGCCCCAUCUCCAAAAUCACAGAGAGCUUAGAAAGUGUCAGAGCAGAAAGUGCAGAGGUUAUAAACUCAGAUUACAAGAUGUAGGAGUGGCAUAGAUUAAUAGGGACAGAGGGGGGGAGUAUCCCUUAAUUGGGAGCACCACCAUUUCUAGGAGAUGUGUUCUUUGCUUUCUCGCGGUGAUUAUUAAAUAUUCUAACUGGUAAAACGUUCCUUUCAUUUGAUCUAUCUACUGUCAUGGAGGGGGGAGGAAGCCAAUUCCCCGAAGCCUGACAGCCUCUGUGGAAUGGAAGCAGAGUAAACUGCAGAUGAAGGGUAGGGCCAGGGCUUUUUUUCAACCGGAACUUUCCAGAAUUCGGUUCCAGCACAUCUCAGGUGGGCGCCAUUGCCAUUCUAAGAGAAAGAUGGAGGUUUCAUGGUGAGUUUGGGCACCUUUUUUCCCCUAGAAAAAUAGCACUGGGUAGGGCAGAACAAUACCAUACAUGUCAUAUCCAGUUGGAGACAUUUAGAGGCGCUUGAGGAAGAUGGUAAAUAUCCAUCUUCUCCGGUGCUGCGUUUUCACAGCAUUUUGGAAGCGGAGGGGUGGACCAGAUUCUGAAAGGUCAUUCCUUCCUUAUCAUAGGGAAGCUGCUGUGGCUUCUAUCCCCCAGGGAGGACAUCAUGAGUGCUGACUGCAAGUGAGCAAAAUAUUCUUGAGAGGCUCCUGAGGCAGUGAAAGGGGUGUAAGAACACUCGUGAGAAGAUCAUCCUGCUGGUGCGUCAAAGGGCAUGUGUGGAAAAAGCUCAGUGAACUCCAUGAUCCAAGGCAGCUGCUGUCGUCCACUGGUAGCUCCGCCACCAGCAAAGUAGCCGCCAUGACUCAUUUUACAUACAUAAUAGCUGCAGGUGUUGAUAUUUGCAGCUUGUCACAGCGUCUGCGGAGGAUAAGUAACUGUUCUUGUAAGAGCCGCAGGUAGACACCAGCGACUUAUACAGAAAUGAUUGCAAAA
This is a non-coding RNA of Podarcis lilfordi (Lilford's wall lizard), 4129 nucleotides long. The record is from the annotation of a GenBank genome assembly. NCBI's taxonomy places the organism in Eukaryota, Metazoa, Chordata, Lepidosauria, Squamata, Lacertidae.